Molecule: ribosomal RNA, 450 nt
Filed under: uncultured bacterium
Lineage: Bacteria
Description: partial 16S ribosomal RNA
Rfam family: Bacterial small subunit ribosomal RNA
Source: RNAcentral
GUGGGGAAUAUUGGACAAUGGGCGCAAGCCUGAUCCAGCCAUACCGCGUGGGUGAAGAAGGCCUUCGGGUUGUAAAGCCCUUUUGUUGGGAAAGAAAUCCUGUCGGUUAAUACCUGGCGGGGAUGACGGUACCCAAAGAAUAAGCACCGGCUAACUUCGUGCCAGCAGCCGCGGUAAUACGAAGGGUGCAAGCGUUACUCGGAAUUACUGGGCGUAAAGCGUGCGUAGGUGGUGGUUUAAGUCCGUUGUGAAAGCCCUGGGCUCAACCUGGGAAUUGUAGUGGAUACUGGAUCACUAGAGUGUGGUAGCUGGAUGUGGAAUUUCUGGUGUAGCAGUGAAAUGCGUAGAGAUCAGAAGGAACAUCCGUGGCGAAGGCGGCAUCCUGGGCGAACACUGACACUGAGGCACGAAAGCGUGGGGAGCAAACAGGAUUAGAAACCCGGGUAGUCC